RNAcentral lists this ribosomal RNA (1179 nucleotides) under Clavibacter michiganensis. RNAcentral describes it as "bacterial SSU rRNA". It matches the Rfam family "Bacterial small subunit ribosomal RNA", at positions 342 to 1533 of the family's 1533-position model. Lineage: Bacteria; Bacillati; Actinomycetota; Actinomycetes; Micrococcales; Microbacteriaceae. The record is from RNAcentral.
CGGGAGGCAGCAGUGGGGAAUAUUGCACAAUGGGCGAAAGCCUGAUGCAGCAACGCCGCGUGAGGGAUGACGGCCUUCGGGUUGUAAACCUCUUUUAGUAGGGAAGAAGCGAAAGUGACGGUACCUGCAGAAAAAGCACCGGCUAACUACGUGCCAGCAGCCGCGGUAAUACGUAGGGUGCAAGCGUUGUCCGGAAUUAUUGGGCGUAAAGAGCUCGUAGGCGGUUUGUCGCGUCUGCUGUGAAAUCCCGAGGCUCAACCUCGGGUCUGCAGUGGGUACGGGCAGACUAGAGUGCGGUAGGGGAGAUUGGAAUUCCUGGUGUAGCGGUGGAAUGCGCAGAUAUCAGGAGGAACACCGAUGGCGAAGGCAGAUCUCUGGGCCGUAACUGACGCUGAGGAGCGAAAGCAUGGGGAGCGAACAGGAUUAGAUACCCUGGUAGUCCAUGCCGUAAACGUUGGGAACUAGAUGUGGGGACCAUUCCACGGUCUCCGUGUCGCAGCUAACGCAUUAAGUUCCCCGCCUGGGGAGUACGGCCGCAAGGCUAAAACUCAAAGGAAUUGACGGGGGCCCGCACAAGCGGCGGAGCAUGCGGAUUAAUUCGAUGCAACGCGAAGAACCUUACCAAGGCUUGACAUAUACCGGAAACAUGCAGAAAUGUGUGCCCCGCAAGGUCGGUAUACAGGUGGUGCAUGGUUGUCGUCAGCUCGUGUCGUGAGAUGUUGGGUUAAGUCCCGCAACGAGCGCAACCCUCGUUCUAUGUUGCCAGCACGUAAUGGUGGGAACUCAUAGGAGACUGCCGGGGUCAACUCGGAGGAAGGUGGGGAUGACGUCAAAUCAUCAUGCCCCUUAUGUCUUGGGCUUCACGCAUGCUACAAUGGCCGGUACAAAGGGCUGCGAUACCGUAAGGUGGAGCGAAUCCCAAAAAGCCGGUCUCAGUUCGGAUUGAGGUCUGCAACUCGACCUCAUGAAGUCGGAGUCGCUAGUAAUCGCAGAUCAGCAACGCUGCGGUGAAUACGUUCCCGGGCCUUGUACACACCGCCCGUCAAGUCAUGAAAGUCGGUAACACCCGAAGCCAGUGGCCUAACCGCAAGGGAGGAGCUGUCGAAGGUGGGAUCGGUGAUUAGGACUAAGUCGUAACAAGGUAGCCGUACCGGAAGGUGCGGCUGGAUCACCUCCUUU